RNAcentral lists this ribosomal RNA (251 nucleotides) under uncultured prokaryote. RNAcentral describes it as "partial 16S rRNA". It matches the Rfam family "Bacterial small subunit ribosomal RNA", at positions 525 to 775 of the family's 1533-position model. The record is from RNAcentral.
ACGUAGGGGGCAAGCGUUAUCCGGAAUUAUUGGGCGUAAAGCGUGCGCAGGCGGUUUUUUAAGCGUGAGGUGAAAGGCCACAGCUCAACCGUUGUAAGCCUUUGGAAACUGGAGAACUUGAGUGCAGAAGAGGAGAGUGGAAUUCCAAGUGUAGCGGUGAAAUGCGUAGAUAUAUGGAGGAACACCAGUGGCGAAGGCGACUCUCUGGUCUGUAACUGACGCUGAGGCUCGAAAGCGUGGGGAGCAAACAG